Molecule: transfer RNA, 72 nt
Filed under: Paramuricea clavata
Lineage: Eukaryota; Metazoa; Cnidaria; Anthozoa; Malacalcyonacea; Plexauridae
Description: tRNA-Ser
Rfam family: tRNA (bases 5-68)
About the family: Transfer RNA (tRNA) molecules are approximately 80 nucleotides in length.
Source: RNAcentral
GCAUCUGUAGCUCAGUUGGUUAGAGCGCUGCACCGGAAUCGCAGGGCCGUAGGUUCAAUUCCUACCAGUGAG